CAGUCGCCGCGGUAAUACGAAGGGGGCUAGCGUUGUUCGGAAUAACUGGGCGUAAAGGGCGCGUAGGCGGAUCUUUAAGUCAGGGGUGAAAUCCCAAGGCUCAACCUUGGAACUGCCUUUGAUACUGGAGAUCUUGAGUCCGGGAGAGGUGAGUGGAACUGCGAGUGUAGAGGUGAAAUUCGUAGAUAUUCGCAAGAACACCAGUGGCGAAGGCGGCUCACUGGCCCGGUACUGACGCUGAGGCGCGAAAGCGUGGGGAGCAAACAGGAUUAGAUACCCCGGUAGUCCCUGUCUCUUAUAC
Molecule: ribosomal RNA, 301 nt
Filed under: uncultured bacterium
Lineage: Bacteria
Description: partial 16S ribosomal RNA
Rfam family: Bacterial small subunit ribosomal RNA
Source: RNAcentral